GAGGGUAUAGCUCAAGUGGUAGAGUGCAUGUUUAGUAUGCACAAGGUCCUGGGUUCAAUUCCCAGUGCCUCUU
Molecule: transfer RNA, 73 nt
Organism: Camelus ferus (Wild Bactrian camel)
Lineage: Eukaryota; Metazoa; Chordata; Mammalia; Artiodactyla; Camelidae
Rfam family: tRNA
About the family: Transfer RNA (tRNA) molecules are approximately 80 nucleotides in length. Their secondary structure includes four short double-helical elements and three loops (D, anti-codon, and T loops). Further hydrogen bonds mediate the characteristic L-shaped molecular structure. tRNAs have two regions of fundamental functional importance: the anti-codon, which is responsible for specific mRNA codon recognition, and the 3' end, to which the tRNAs corresponding amino acid is attached (by aminoacyl-tRNA synthetases). tRNAs cope with the degeneracy of the genetic code in two manners: having more than one tRNA (with a specific anti-codon) for a particular amino acid; and 'wobble' base-pairing, i.e. permitting non-standard base-pairing at the 3rd anti-codon position.
Source: Rfam